RNAcentral lists this ribosomal RNA (244 nucleotides) under uncultured bacterium. Its description in RNAcentral is "partial 16S ribosomal RNA". It matches the Rfam family "Bacterial small subunit ribosomal RNA", at positions 526 to 770 of the family's 1533-position model. The record is from RNAcentral.
CGUAGGGGGCAAGCGUUAUCCGGAAUUAUUGGGCGUAAAGAGUACGUAGGUGGUUUUGUAAGCGCUGGGUGAACGGCAGUGGCUUAACCAUUGUAAGCCUUGCGAACUGCAAGACUUGAGUGCAGGAGAGGAAAGCGGAAUUCCUAGUGUAGCGGUGAAAUGCUUAGAUAUUAGGAGGAACACCAGUGGCGAAGGCGGCUUUCUGGACUGUAACUGACACUGAGGUACGAAAGCGUGGGGAGCA